CUACGGGAGGCUCCAGUCAGGAAUAUUGCACAAUGGGGGGAACCCUGAUGCAGCAACGCCGCGUGGAGGAUGACGCAUUUCGGUGUGUAAACUCCUUUUAUAUGUCAAGAAAAUGACGGUAGCAUAUGAAUAAGCACCGGCUAACUCCGUGCCAGCAGCCGCGGUAAUACGGAGGGUGCAAGCGUUAUUCGGAAUCACUGGGCGUAAAGGACGCGUAGGCGGGUUGGAAAGUCAGGUGUGAAAUCCUACAGCUUAACUGUAGAACUGCACUUGAAACUUCUAAUCUAGAGUAUGGGAGGGGGAGAUGGAAUUAGUGGUGUAGGGGUAAAAUCCGUAGAUAUCACUAGGAAUACCUAAAGCGAAGGCGAUCUCCUGGAACAUUACUGACGCUAAGGCGUGAAAGCGUGGGGAGCAAACAGGAUUAGAUACCCUAGUAGUC
Molecule: ribosomal RNA, 439 nt
Filed under: uncultured bacterium
Lineage: Bacteria
Description: partial 16S ribosomal RNA
Rfam family: Bacterial small subunit ribosomal RNA
Source: RNAcentral